CUGGGAUAAGCGUUGGAAACGACGUCUAAUACCGGAUAUGACGACUGGCCGCAUGGUCUGGUUGUGGAAAGAUUUUUCGGUUGGGGAUGAGCUCGCGGCCUAUCAGCUUGUUGGUGAGGUAAUGGCUCACCAAGGCGACGACGGGUAGCCGGCCUGAGAGGGUGACCGGCCACACUGGGACUGAGACACGGCCCAGACUCCUACGGGAGGCAGCAGUGGGGAAUAUUGCACAAUGGGCGCAAGCCUGAUGCAGCAACGCCGCGUGAGGGAUGACGGCCUUCGGGUUGUAAACCUCUUUUGUCCAGGAAGAAGCCUUCGGGUGACGGUACUGGGAGAAAAAGCACCGGCUAACUACGUGCCAGCAGCCGCGGUAAUACGUAGGGUGCAAGCGUUGUCCGGAAUUAUUGGGCGUAAAGAGCUCGUAGGCGGUUUGUCGCGUCUGCUGUGAAAUCCCGAGGCUCAACCUCGGGCCUGCAGUGGGUACGGGCAGACUAGAGUGCGGUAGGGGAGAUUGGAAUUCCUGGUGUAGCGGUGGAAUGCGCAGAUAUCAGGAGGAACACCGAUGGCGAAGGCAGAUCUCUGGGCCGUAACUGACGCUGAGGAGCGAAAGCGUGGGGAGCGAACAGGAUUAGAUACCCUGGUAGUCCACGCCGUAAA
Molecule: ribosomal RNA, 657 nt
Filed under: Microbacteriaceae bacterium
Lineage: Bacteria; Bacillati; Actinomycetota; Actinomycetes; Micrococcales; Microbacteriaceae
Description: bacterial SSU rRNA
Rfam family: Bacterial small subunit ribosomal RNA
Source: RNAcentral